GCCAGGUAUGGUGGUGCAUGCCUAUAGUCCCAGCUACUUGGGAGGCUGAGAUGGGAGGAUUGCUUGAGCCCAGGAGGUUGGGGGUGCAGUGAGCCGUGAUCGCGUCACUGCACUCUAGCCUGGGUGACAGAGUGAGAACUUGUCUCAA
Molecule: non-coding RNA, 148 nt
Filed under: Gorilla gorilla gorilla (western lowland gorilla)
Lineage: Eukaryota; Metazoa; Chordata; Mammalia; Primates; Hominidae
Source: Rfam by way of RNAcentral